AGAGUUGUAUCCUGGCUCAGAACGAACGCUGGCGGCNNGCUUAACACAUGCAAGUCGAACGCUCCGCAAGGAGAGUGGCAGACGGGUGAGUAACGCGUGGGAAUCUACCCAAUUCUACGGAACAACAGUUGGAAACGACUGCUAAUACCGUAUACGCCCUACGGGGGAAAGAUUUAUCGGAAUUGGAUGAGCCCGCGUAAGAUUAGCUAGUUGGUGAGGUAAUGGCUCACCAAGGCGACGAUCUUUAGCUGGUCUGAGAGGAUGAUCAGCCACACUGGGACUGAGACACGGCCCAGACUCCUACGGGAGGCAGCAGUGGGGAAUAUUGGACAAUGGGCGCAAGCCUGAUCCAGCCAUGCCGCGUGAGUGAAGAAGGCCUUCUGGGUUGUAAACUGCUUUUAUCUGGGAAGAAAACGCCCCUGCGGGGGUAACUGACGGUACCAGAUGAAUAAGCACCGGCUAACUCCGUGCCAGCAGCCGCGGUAAUACGGAGGGUGCAAGCGUUGUCCGGAUUUAUUGGGUUUAAAGGGUGCGUAGGCGGCCUGUUAAGUCAGGGGUGAAAGACGGUGGCUCAACCAUCGCAGUGCCCUUGAUACUGAUGGGCUUGAUUUCAGUUGAGGUAGGCGGAAUGUGACAAGUAGCGGUGAAAUGCAUAGAUAUGUCACAGAACACCGAUUGCGAAGGCAGCUUACUAAAGUGAUAAUGACGCUGAGGCACGAAAGCGUGGGGAUCAAACAGGAUUAGAUACCCUGGUAGUCCACGCCCUAAACGAUGAACACUCGAUGUUAGCGAUAUACAGUUAGCGUCUAAGCGAAAGCGNUUAAGUGUUCCACCUGGGGAGUACGCCCGCAAGGGUUGAAACUCAAAGGAAUUGACGGGGGNCCCGCACAAGCCGGAAGGNAGCAUGUGGGUUUAAUUNCGAAUGAUACCCCGCAGGNAACCCUUACCCGGGCNUUGAAAGUUUACCUGAAAAAAAUCCCANANAAUGGAAUUCCNUCCCUUC
This 1003-nucleotide ribosomal RNA is filed under the name uncultured Bacteroidota bacterium. RNAcentral describes it as "bacterial SSU rRNA". It matches the Rfam family "Bacterial small subunit ribosomal RNA", at positions 8 to 1022 of the family's 1533-position model. Lineage: Bacteria; Pseudomonadati; Bacteroidota. The record is from RNAcentral.